This 2951-nucleotide ribosomal RNA is filed under the name Acinetobacter baumannii. RNAcentral describes it as "bacterial LSU rRNA". It matches the Rfam family "Bacterial large subunit ribosomal RNA". Lineage: Bacteria; Pseudomonadati; Pseudomonadota; Gammaproteobacteria; Moraxellales; Moraxellaceae. The record is from RNAcentral.
GUUGUAUAGUCAAGUAAUUAAGUGCAUGUGGUGGAUGCCUUGGCAGUCAGAGGCGAUGAAAGACGUGAUAGCCUGCGAAAAGCUCCGGGGAGGCGGCAAAUAUCCUUUGAUCCGGAGAUGUCUGAAUGGGGGAACCCACCUACUUUAAGGUAGGUAUUGCAACAUGAAUACAUAGUGUUGCAAGGCGAACGAGGGGAAGUGAAACAUCUCAGUACCCUUAGGAAAAGAAAUCAAUUGAGAUUCCCUCAGUAGCGGCGAGCGAACGGGGAUCAGCCCAUUAAGUUAUGUGUGUUUUAGUGGAACGCUCUGGGAAGUGCGAACGUAGAGGGUGAUAUUCCCGUACACGAAAGGGCACACAUAAUGAUGACGAGUAGGGCGAGGCACGUGAAACCUUGUCUGAAUAUGGGGGGACCAUCCUCCAAGGCUAAAUACUCCUGACUGACCGAUAGUGAACCAGUACCGUGAGGGAAAGGCGAAAAGAACCCCUGUGAGGGGAGUGAAAUAGAUCCUGAAACCGCAUGCAUACAAGCAGUGGGAGCACCUUCGUGGUGUGACUGCGUACCUUUUGUAUAAUGGGUCAGCGACUUAUAUUCAGUAGCAAGGUUAACCGUAUAGGGGAGCCGUAGAGAAAUCGAGUCUUAAUAGGGCGUUUAGUUGCUGGGUAUAGACCCGAAACCAGGCGAUCUAUCCAUGAGCAGGUUGAAGGUUGGGUAACACUAACUGGAGGACCGAACCCACUGUCGUUGAAAAGCCAGGGGAUGACUUGUGGAUAGGGGUGAAAGGCUAAUCAAGCCUGGUGAUAGCUGGUUCUCCCCGAAAGCUAUUUAGGUAGCGCCUCGGACGAAUACCAUAGGGGGUAGAGCACUGUUUCGGCUAGGGGGUCAUCCCGACUUACCAAACCGAUGCAAACUCCGAAUACCUAUGAGUACUAUCCGGGAGACAGACUGCGGGUGCUAACGUCCGUAGUCAAGAGGAAAACAAUCCAGACCGCCAGCUAAGGCCCCAAAAUCAUAGUUAAGUGGGAAACGAUGUGGGAAGGCAUAGACAGCUAGGAGGUUGGCUUANNNGAAGCAGCCACCCUUUAAAGAAAGCGUAAUAGCUCACUAGUCGAGUCGGCCUGCGCGGAAGAUGUAACGGGGCUAAAACUAUGUGCCGAAGCUGCGGAUGUAUACUUUGUAUACGUGGUAGGGGAGCGUUCUGUAAGCCGAUGAAGGUGUGUUGAGAAGCNNNNNNNNNNNNNNNNNNNNNNNNNNNNNNAUGCUGGAGGUAUCAGAAGUGCGAAUGCUGACGUGAGUAACGACAAAACGGGUGAAAAACCCGUUCGCCGAAAGACCAAGGGUUCCAGUCCAACGUUAAUCGGGGCUGGGUGAGUCGACCCCUAAGGCGAGGCCGAAAGGCGUAGUCGAUGGGAAAAUGGUUAAUAUUCCAUUACUUCUGUGUAAUGCGAUGAGAGGACGGAGAAGGCUAAAUCAGCCUGGCGUUGGUUGUCCAGGUGAAAGGAUGUAGGCAUGUAUCUUAGGCAAAUCCGGGGUACUCUAUGCUGAGAUCUGAUAGCAAGCUGUACUUGUACAGCGAAGUGGUUGAUGCCAUGCUUCCAGGAAAAGUCUCUAAGCUUCAGUUACACAGGAAUCGUACCCGAAACCGACACAGGUGGUCAGGUCGAGUAGACCAAGGCGCUUGAGAGAACUCUGCUGAAGGAACUAGGCAAAAUGGUACCGUAACUUCGGGAGAAGGUACGCUGUUGUUGGUGAUGGAACUCGCUUCCUGAGCUGACGACAGCCGCAGAAACCAGGCCGCUGCAACUGUUUAUUAAAAACAUAGCACUCUGCAAACACGAAAGUGGACGUAUAGGGUGUGAUGCCUGCCCGGUGCUGGAAGGUUAAUUGAUGGGGUUAGCGUAAGCGAAGCUCUUGAUCGAAGCCCCAGUAAACGGCGGCCGUAACUAUAACGGUCCUAAGGUAGCGAAAUUCCUUGUCGGGUAAGUUCCGACCUGCACGAAUGGCAUAAUGAUGGCGGCGCUGUCUCCAGCAGAGGCUCAGUGAAAUCGAAAUCGCUGUGAAGAUGCAGUGUACCCGCGGCUAGACGGAAAGACCCCGUGAACCUUUACUGCAGCUUGACACUGAACUUUGACCUUACUUGUGUAGGAUAGGUGGGAGGCUUUGAAGCUGGAACGCUAGUUCCAGUGGAGCCGUCCUUGAAAUACCACCCUGGUAAUGUUGAGGUUCUAACUCUGUCCCGUGAUCCGGGACGAGGACCGUGUCUGGUGGGUAGUUUGACUGGGGCGGUCUCCUCCUAAAGAGUAACGGAGGAGUACGAAGGUGCGCUCAGCGUGGUCGGAAAUCACGCGUAGAGUAUAAAGGCAAAAGCGCGCUUAACUGCGAGACCCACAAGUCGAGCAGGUACGAAAGUAGGUCUUAGUGAUCCGGUGGUUCUGUAUGGAAGGGCCAUCGCUCAACGGAUAAAAGGUACUCUGGGGAUAACAGGCUGAUACCGCCCAAGAGUUCAUAUCGACGGCGGUGUUUGGCACCUCGAUGUCGGCUCAUCUCAUCCUGGGGCUGAAGCAGGUCCCAAGGGUAUGGCUGUUCGCCAUUUAAAGAGGUACGCGAGCUGGGUUUAGAACGUCGUGAGACAGUUCGGUCCCUAUCUACCGUGGGCGCUGGAAAUUUGAGAGGAUCUGCUCCUAGUACGAGAGGACCAGAGUGGACGAACCUCUGGUGUACCGGUUGUGACGCCAGUCGCAUCGCCGGGUAGCUAUGUUCGGAAGGGAUAACCGCUGAAAGCAUCUAAGCGGGAAGCCUACCUCAAGAUAAGAUUUCCCUAGGACUUUAUGUCCUCUAAAGAGCCGUUCGAGACUAGGACGUUGAUAGGUUGGAUGUGGAAGCAUAGUGAUAUGUGAAGCUGACCAAUACUAAUUGCUCGUGAGGCUUGACUAUACAACACCCAAGCAGUUG